CAGCAGAGUUGUUUGCCAAAGAGUGACUAUCAAGGCCUUGACUAAUGUUCUAAGGAGGGCACAAUGUUCCACUCCCAAAACAAUGUAACCCAGUGGUUUUCAGCAAGGAAACUGAUAAAUUUCCCAAAGGAAUUCCUUACUGUCAGUAAGACCUCUGAAAAUUCACUAGUGAGAAUAAAUGCCACGAAAUCUAACAUUAGUAUUCUGAACUGAAUUUGCUUAUGCCAGACCUCUAAACAAUAAAUUGUGUUCUGCUGUGUUGCUAUGCCCGUUCAUGAGGCAAGCCAUUUUAAAGUAAAGCAUCUUGGAGAUUCCAUAAGAGCAGAAUGUGGAAGGGGUGUACUGCUUUAGGCUAGGGGAAAACAGCAAAAAAAAAAAAAAAAUAGUGGAUGAAGUAUAUUCUUAGGGGAGACUUGGAGAGCAAACUACAGGAAGUGCUGAGGAAGGAAGAAGGACACCGUGGAUCAUGGUGGAAGGCCCACGUGGACGCAAAGCAGCAAGCACAGACACAGCACAUGACCCCAGGAGCCGAGAGCGGGAGACUGCACCAGCUUUGGAGAGUGAGCUGUCGGACACAUUGCUGGGGAAAGCCAGACAUGAGCCUCCUUCAGCACCGGACACAGCCUAGGAUCCUGCUGGGCUCAGGACCUCCCCUCCCAUCUCUAGUCCCACGAGGAAUGUUUGUUCCCGUUCUCUGCUGGGGGAGUUUUUUCAUGGCGGGGCCUCAUCCUCGACGAAGCUGUGGGACUCAGAGCCAGGCUCUGUGUGGCCCGACGAUCCUGCUGACCCCGGCCUCCUGUAGACCAUGGGCCGCCAUACCCCUGGCCGCAUUUCCAGCUUUUCAAGUGGGAAGAAACCACCCUGCGUCCCAGGACUUGCACUUCUGUGGGCCAUCCUCAGCAAGACAUUUUCAUGGAUAUGAAACUGGACACCGAGUUGACGCUGAAGUUCAGCUGCUGGGUAAUCUUCCAUUUCUGGAGCUUGCUCAGCUUCCUUGUAAAACCCAGCUGUGCCUUCACCCUGGACAGGAGCAUCUGACAUUUUCAUGGAUAUGA
Molecule: long non-coding RNA, 1055 nt
Filed under: Oryctolagus cuniculus (rabbit)
Lineage: Eukaryota; Metazoa; Chordata; Mammalia; Lagomorpha; Leporidae
Description: lncRNA (ENSOCUG00000037924.1)
Source: RNAcentral